UCGGGAAUAUUGCGCAAUGGAGGAAACUCUGACGCAGUGACGCCGCGUGCAGGAAGAAGGUUUUCGGAUUGUAAACUGCUUUAGACAGGGAAGAAUAAAGACAGUACCUGUAGAAUAAGCUCCGGCUAACUACGUGCCAGCAGCCGCGGUAAUACGUAGGGAGCAAGCGUUAUCCGGAUUUAUUGGGUGUAAAGGGUGCGUAGACGGGAAAACAAGUUAGUUGUGAAAUCCCUCGACUUAACUGAGGAACUGCAACUAAAACUAUUUUUCUUGAGUGUUGGAGAGGAAAGUGGAAUUCCUAGUGUAGCGGUGAAAUGCGUAGAUAUUAGGAGGAACACCGGUGGCGAAGGCGACUUUCUGGACAAUAACUGACGUUGAGGCACGAAAGUGUGGGGAGCAAACAGGAUUAGAUACCC
RNAcentral lists this ribosomal RNA (416 nucleotides) under uncultured bacterium. RNAcentral describes it as "bacterial SSU rRNA". It matches the Rfam family "Bacterial small subunit ribosomal RNA", at positions 355 to 787 of the family's 1533-position model. The record is from RNAcentral.